AUUUUUCCCUGAGUUCCACAGAGAUGUGGUGAACGGAGAGCCUAGAUCUCAGCGGCUUGUGUUGGCCGCAGUGAAGAGAGGCAGGCAGAGAGGAAGGAGUGUGCAUAUGUUCUCCUUCAUAUCCAGAGGAGUUGCCUUAGUGGACCAGUUUUCUGGGGACCUGCUGAGGUAGGAUUGUCAACAUGGGGUGGAGAGGAGGAGAUUAGACCCACUGUUUGCUUAAAUAGAUAUAGUUCCAAUUCACAUUUCAUCCAACCCACAGGGAAGGGUAUCUGAAUUAAGAGUGUGAUUGGAAAUAAGUUGCCUUCCUAAGGAUAUGGUCUUCAAGAAUGACAAUGUCUAAAAUUUCUGAA
This 353-nucleotide long non-coding RNA is filed under the name Ornithorhynchus anatinus (platypus). RNAcentral describes it as "lncRNA (ENSOANG00000046235.1)". Lineage: Eukaryota; Metazoa; Chordata; Mammalia; Monotremata; Ornithorhynchidae. The record is from RNAcentral.